Molecule: long non-coding RNA, 2205 nt
Organism: Rhinolophus ferrumequinum (greater horseshoe bat)
Lineage: Eukaryota; Metazoa; Chordata; Mammalia; Chiroptera; Rhinolophidae
Exons: 3
Source: RefSeq, a predicted model, not a curated record
GCCUGCCUCUUGGCUGGAGGCUGAAGGAUUCAGGCAUUAGAGACGAAGACGCUGGGUCUGAUGCUGAGCAUCAAACUGUUUGACUGUCUCUACGCUCAAGAGUUUAUAUAUUUCCCCCCAACUACUGCUGGUUUUCACCCCAAUUAUGCCUGCAAAAGCCAUUUGUGAAGUUGGCUAGAAGAUUUUUUUUUUUGAAAAAGAGGGCGUGUGGAUCCAGAAAUGCUGGACUAGACUCCUGAAUCUGGCCCCUUAUCCCUACUCCCUUCCUUGGGAAUGGCCUGAAGAAAUGCCUCUGCCAGGGCUUGCUACAUUUAAGUAUUCAGAUUUGAAAGGGAAACCAAGAGCUACGCUGGAGAAAACUUUGAUGCCCAAACCCUAAGAAGUGUCCUAUUUUUUGAGAGGCUCAUGUACUGAAUUUUGUGCAUUAAAAUGAGUUCCCCAAAUGAAGACUGCUAAAAAAAAAGAAAGAAAGAAAAAGAAGACAUUUUUGUAUGAUCUCAAACUAAUCGGUGAAAACCUGAAGAUAUAAAGGGCUAUGCUUGACUAGAGACUUAAGCAUAUGGUAUCUGCUUUGAAAUUCUCUGUUUGGGUAUGAACUUUUUCAGACGUUUUCAAGCAGUCUCUUCUUUGACGUUCUGUUUAUACACAUCAAAAUUUCCUACUGAAGAAAACCUUUUCCUCUUUAAAAAUUUUUGAAAGUGAGAAAAUAAAAGCAUUUUCAUAGCAUAAAACUAGAAUUUCACACUUAAACUGUGAAAACCAGCAAUACAGGUUAAAGCAGAAGUUUCAAAACCCUACAACUGUUUUCAUCGAACCAAAUUUCAUCUUUAACUUUUUUUUUCUACUGUUACUUAAACAACUUUUAAAUUAAUUCAGAUAACAACUUGGAAAAUUGAAGUAUUUUAUUCCCACAUCACAAAAGGCGUUUCUUCAAUGGGGCAAUUUUUAAGGGUUCUACAUAUAUUAAAGAGAAGAAGACCCUUUUAACUGAGAACUUUCCUGAAGGUAAGAAAAGUUCCAUACUGUGACGGCUUUUCUUUCACAAUCACAGCCAAAGGAAGACAUGAAAAGAGAAAUUAUCUAAACUUCUAGAGGGCAGUGACCACGAGGAACUUUUUUUUUUUUAUAGUACCCAGGCCAGAGCCGGGUGCAGGUGGGUGUCUUCCUAACAGAAUUUGCCUGAUGCAAUGAGCAGCACUGUGGAAGUCAAAUCCUCCCGCUUUCCAUCUGUGGAUGUCUGUCAUUUGGGGACAAUGACCAGCACUAUAUUUUCUUAACCCAAUAUGGACAGAGAACGUGUUUGGAUUGUAUUGUGUGACAUCCCCUUCUCUAUCGAAAAGGCCCAAGAGGGGCAGGGGGUGGGGCCUGGCUUUUUAAGGAUGGGUCUAAUGCGUUCAGCUGUUAUCACACUUUGCUGAUUGUAAUCACUUGUUUUAUGGUUUCUUUUCCAGCUGCUCAAAAAAUUCAUUGCGGUGUCUUCUAGGUUUAUUUUUAAUAUCCUGCAAUUCAAAGAUCUAAGAAAGAAGAGUUGAAAUAGAAAUCCAUGUCCUGAUUUCCUCUCCAUUUUUUUCCUCAUGGGGAAGACAGGAUUUAGGAUUUGGACACAUUCUUCAAAAUCUUUUCUGGAAAAACGUGUUCUUUUCUAUAGGGGAGGAGCCAGCCUGGAGCACAUUCACAGGCUUAUUCAAUUGAUGGAGGAGUUGGGAAAAGAUCCUAUGUAAACAUACAAAAAUGUUUUUAAAAGUUAAUUCUUUCUUCAGAGCAUUUAUAAUUAAAAUGUUUCUUUUUUGAGAGUGGUAGCAAGACACUAGUACUCUGUGGCCAUCUUAGGAUAUCUAGAUUCCCUACGUAUUUUCUCUAAACCCAGUUGUUCUAAAACUUGUUUAGUAAAGGUUAAAAGUGAAUAGCUCUGUAAACUGCAGAAUGCUUUCCUACUUAGGUACGCUAAAAGAAAAGGUGAGAGGGUUCCCCACAUGUCCUGUCUCUGAAAAUAUCUUGACUUACAUUUUAAAAUCGAUGUACUUCAGGGAAAGUAUAAGGUAUCAGUUUUCUCUGUUUUCUUCUGUCAGAGUAAUCCUAUGAAGAGUGGGAUCUGAGAAAUGAUUCAGCUAGAAUUAUAGGUUGCCAUUUCUACAUUUUCCACUCUGUGACAAUCCUUUCAGUCAUUUUUAAGUCUUUUACAAGCCCAUUAAAAAAAAAAAAAAA